AUGAAACUGAAACACCUCUCAUUUUAGUGUGGGAGGUUUCAUGCCUGAAUUGGACUAGCCUGGUGGCCAAUCUUCAUGAAUUGCACAUUGCAACAGUAAGAGCAGAGUGUGAAGGUCCAAUUAGCAGGGUAAGAGCACAGUUUUGCUCAAAAUAUUGCAAUGCACAUAACAUUAUUUGGGACAUACUGGAGUUCAAAAGAGGGCAAAUUGUUCACCAAGACAGCAAGUCUUUGUGAUUAUCAAGAGCCACAGUAUCCAGGGUAAUGUCAGCAUACCACCAAGAAUGACGAACCACAUCUAACAGGAUUAACUGUGGAUGCAAGAUGAAGCUGUCUUAAAGAGAUGUUUGGGUGCUAACCUGGAUUGUAUCCCAAAAACAUAAAACCACGGUGCCCAAAUCACGGUAGAAUUAAAUGUGCACCUCAACUCUCCUGUUUCCACCAAAACUGUCCGUCGGGAGCUCCACAUGGUCAAUAUACACAGCCGGGCUGCUAUAGCCAAACUUUUGGUCACUCGUAUCAAUGCCAAACGUCGGUUUCAAUGGUGCAAGGAGCGAAAAUCUUGUGCUGUGGACAAUGUGAAACAUGUAUUGUUCUCUGAUGAGUCUACCUUUACUGUUUUCCCCACAUCCGGGAGAGUUACGGUGUGGAGAAGCCCCAAAGAUGCAUUCCAGCCAGAGUGUUGUAUGCCAGAGUGAAGCAUGGGGGUGGAUCAUUGAUGGUGUGGGCUGCCAUAUCAUGGCAUUCCCUUGGCCCCAUACUUGUCCAAGACGAAUUGAUGCUGUAUUGGCCUCAAAAGGAGGCCCUACACCACGCUAAUAAGUUAUUGUGGUCUAAAACCAGGUGUUUCAGUUUCAUUGUCCAACCCCUGUAGUUAACCUGUCACUUUCAAAAUUUUGACUGUAUGUCAAAGCAAAAGCUGCAAGAGCAAGAUUCUCAAAACUUGGAAAGAAUUACCCGAGAUGUCAGCUUUAUAGUCUUUGCCAAGGCAAUUGUUACUCAGCUGGCCUCUAAUGGAGUUGAUGUAAGGUAAAUUGUAGAAUUUAAUUUUUUCCUUGUAGGAAACCUCGACGAUAGUAAAGGUUGGUGACCUUGACCAUUGUCGAGGUCUCCAGGACGAAGGUGACCUCGUCUUGGAGAUCACCCAAGGAUAUAUUUUGCUGAUAGAACAGAACAUCCAUGUCUUCCUAAUGUUUGAACCUAAAACAUGUUCACUGUGUGAUAUCUAUGCCUGGCUCAUUUACAAACAAUAGGCUUCCAGAGGACCAGGAUAUUAAAACAUUAAAAAUAAUUCUACAAUGCUUUAUUUUUUUAAACCAGUUCAGUAUUGCUCUAGCCACACUUUGAACCCUUAACAUUUUUUCAUGUUAUUAUUUUAUGCUAGAACAGUCCAGUCCAGUCUCCAAGCCAGUACGCAUGAGUGGGCCCCCCUUGGGUUUGUAGUAGGCCAUAUGGGUAAUGAGUGGUCAUGGGUUUUAUCUGGGCAAACCUCAUGGGACACAUAUGGUUAACUAAAAUGGGACCCCUAUGGGCUGGCCCAUUUGGGCUAAAUGUAUGGGCCCUAUUCAGCAACAAUGUGGGCUAACUGGAAAUGGGACAGAAAUGGGCAACACUAUUUGGGGCCCAUGUGGUUUCAGUAUCAUGGGCCCCACAUGAGAAGCCCAAUGUGGGCUGUCCACAUUAAACUAACAUGACAUGAGCAUGGGCUAACCAUACAUGGGUUGGACCUGGGCAGGAAAAUGUAGCCCCUAGUACUUUUUUUCAUGGUCUAAAUGGGACAAAAUUGUAGAACAUUUUAAUCGACAAUGUGGUUACCCUGUCACUUUCAAACUUUUCACUGUAUGUCAAAGCAAAAGCCAGUUCAGUAUUGCUCUUGCUACACUUUGAACCCCUAACUUUUUUUUCAUUUUAUUAUUGCAGUCUGAAUGUCUUAAAACAUUUUUUUGAAAUAAUCUGUUUGAAAUAUAUACGUAAACUCAUAUUCUGGUGCUUACUCAAAAUUAAGCACAGAGUGGUCAUGGUUGAGCUUUAGUCCUUGUUUUAUUUUUAAUAAUAAUAACUUUUUAUUUUAUUUUUAUUAUUAUUUUUUAUCAAUUGGAUGUUUAGACAUCCAUAGAGUUUACUGCAGCCUGUUCGCAGCAAGAUUUAAAUUUUUAUUUGGACAAAUAGUUCAGAUCAGACCAUUGUGAAAAAUAUCACAAAAUGUUUAGAAAAUAAACAAAACUCAUUAGCAAGUGAGAGACAAGAGUAAAAUUUUGAGCAUCUGUUUUUUCAUAUAUUUGCAAACAUUUUCCAAGUCAUCAGUAUAAAUAAAAAUAAAAAAUAAAAAAACGUAACAUUUCUGUUAAUGAUUCAUUUGGUUCCAAUUACCUUUUUGUUCAUUGUUUGCUCUGAGGCACCGUUGCCAAUAAAGGUUGGUGAAUUGAAGUACCGGUAGGCACUUUACACAUCCACUGAAGAAAAUAGUUCCAAAACAUAUUUGAAUAAGGAGGACAACGAAAUGUAUUUAUUUACAUUGAGAACUUUUGCUACAUCGGUUUUACAUUUGUUAAACCGAUGUAGCACUCUCAAAAAUUAAUCUUGUGUUUCUUGGAAAACGUAAAAUGACCCGCGGAUGGAUAUGCGGUUUCAAAAUCAAGCCUGUUCUCUUCAUCAGUCCGUUGGCGCGGAGUCUGCCUGUUGGCUGAUCUACGAAAGAAUCUGUAAGUACAUUUCUUCUGUUUUACCUAGUACCAAAUUUUAGGGAGAGAUUUUAAAUCGCUUGUUAAAAAAAUUGUUGCUCGUAACAAAUCGGACGACAGUAUCCCAAAAGAGACUUAAUUGUUAUUGUUAUUUUUGCUUUUCUUUAGGGUGAUACUUUUUCUGAUAUUGCUAACACACACAGCUACACACAAUAAGCAGAUUUUAGUGCAGACCGAUUUCAAACGCAGCGUUGUGGGCCAAACCAUUUUCAAAUACCGCCGCCAUUCUAUUUGUUGAGCUGCCAUUGGUUCAUUUGAGCGCCAACGAGGCAGAAUGAAAUCGGUUCACUGAAGAAUCUAUGUUGCUAGCAGAGGUUGUUACAAAGUGUCUGGACACAAUAAAACCAUUUGUAUGAUUUAAAAAGAGUAACUAUUGUGCUUUCAUUCUAUGUACUUGGGCUUUUAAUAAUCUUUCUCACAGUCACAUCAGCAUGCAUGGGUGGGUCUCAUGUAUGGAUUCAGGCUGGUUUGGCUGGGACCCAUGCAAGAUUAUUAUUGUCGUUUUUUUCAAUAAAACUGCAUUGAAUCGUUUAGCUUUGGGCUAUAUAGGUAAUGAUAAGAGGGCAUGGGUUUUAUCUGGGCCAACUGCGUGAGGCUCAAAAGGUUAACCGAAAUGGGACUCAUAUUGUUGGCUCAAUUGGGUUAAAUGUAUGGGCCCAAUUCAGCAUUAACGUGGGCUAACCGGGCAUGGGACAGAAAUGGGAACACUAUAUGGGGCCCAUGUGGUUUCAGUAUAUUGGGCCUAAAAGGUUUUUUGUAAAUAGGAUGAAGGCAUUGUAGUUCAUAUUUUUAAAUUCUUUUUUUAAUUGUUGUGUGACACUUUAAAGCGUUUUGUUAUGUCAUAGUUUAUUUCAAUCUGCCGCUAUUGUGUUGGUCUAGAGUAGUCAUCAGUGUCAGGGUUCCUGUGUGUGUAUGUGAGUGUCGCAUCUUAUUUCAGCGAGGAUCUUUGUGAGGAGCCCGUGGAGCUUGGCACAGGUGGAGGAGCAGCAGAAUCUUCAGUCUACGCUAGAUUGACUGAAGAUUCUACUGGUGUAUGCUAGAUGGUUGCAUACACCGGUAGUCACUCUGGCCUCUCCUGUUGUGAACAGUUUUCUGAGAACGUUUCUGUGUCUACUAGAAGUCACCUGGUCUCUGUGUUUGUUCGAUCCUAGGGGUUUUGUCGCCUCAUUCGAGAACUCACCAGUGAAUACCUGCCUGCUCGCUCCGCCGAUUCCACUGCCUCCACUCCACCCUUCGAGCUUCCAGCUCUCUUCCAUUCCCACCUCGCAUUUACCUUCGGAACCGCUGCACACCCUCUCUCAGGAACCUGGCAUCUCACACCCACGCCUCGAAAGACCCGCACCGAAGCUUCAAGAGGAUCAGCGUGUGAAGAUCACUUUAUAAUGAUUUGAAAAAGGUUGCCAUGGCUACAGAAAUUGGAGGAGCAUCCUUAGAUGACACAAUACAACCAGCUGUGCGAUUCCUCAUGUCCCAUGAACUGGAAGUCCAGUUCAACCUUUUUGGCCAACAUUGGAAACAAGCUCUUGGACCUGCGUCUCUUUGAUGUUUUGUAUGGGGACUUAAAAGAAAUUAUCCAUCUACAGAAUCACACAAGCAUACAGCAAAGACUCUCGAAGUGGUUUACUGGAGCCCGAGUGGAAGUGGAAAUAGACUAGAGAGACUGCCAGUUCAAACUCAGGUUGGGGAGGUCUUUCAAGAUGGACAGUUUCAGUAAAGUAUGAGAGAUUUCAAAUUUAAGCAUGCAUAUGGCAUGUAGGUUAUUUUUAAAAAUGUUUAACAAAAAUGUAUUGUGAAAGAUCUAUAUAGGUGUGUAUAUUCACAUUGUGUGUAUCAAUGUGAAUAUACGUGUAUAAAGUUAUAUAGAUAGUAUUUAGAUGUAUACAUUUAUAGACCUGUAGGAAAAUAUGUAGGUGUCUUUAUUUGUGUGCAUCUAUAGAUAUAUAUUUAUAGAUCUGUUUAUAAGUUUGUUAUAGUAAACUAGCUUCUGUUAUUUUCAAAGAUGUCGUGAAUAAUUGCAGAUUUCUUUUUGUGGCACCAUUCCCUGAGUAUUAAUGAAGUUCUAAUAAUUGCUGUAGUGAGGUAAAAAAUAACUCCUGACAAUAUUUUAAAUUACUAAAUAAAAGCCUUGAGCAAAAUAAA
Poeciliopsis prolifica (blackstripe livebearer) is the source of this 4879-nucleotide long non-coding RNA. RefSeq lists it as uncharacterized. The transcript is spliced from 4 exons. The record is from RefSeq and is a predicted model, not a curated record. Lineage: Eukaryota; Metazoa; Chordata; Actinopteri; Cyprinodontiformes; Poeciliidae.